GCAGCAGCCGCGGUAAUACAGAGGGUGCGAGCGUUAAUCGGAUUUACUGGGCGUAAAGCGUGCGUAGGCGGCUUUUUAAGUCGGAUGUGAAAUCCCUGAGCUUAACUUAGGAAUUGCAUUCGAUACUGGGAAGCUAGAGUAUGGGAGAGGAUGGUAGAAUUCCAGGUGUAGCGGUGAAAUGCGUAGAGAUCUGGAGGAAUACCGAUGGCGAAGGCAGCCAUCUGGCCUAAUACUGACGCUGAGGUACGAAAGCAUGGGGAGCAAACAGGAUUAGAUACCCCCGUAGUCCCUGUCUCUUAUAC
Molecule: ribosomal RNA, 302 nt
Filed under: uncultured bacterium
Lineage: Bacteria
Description: partial 16S ribosomal RNA
Rfam family: Bacterial small subunit ribosomal RNA
Source: RNAcentral